GAUGAACGCUGGCGGCGUGCUUAACACAUGCAAGUCGAGCGAACAGAUGAGGAGCUUGCUCCUUUGUCGUUAGCGGCGGACGGGUGAGUAACAUGUGUAUAAUCCACUUAUAAGUCUGGGAUAACUUCGGGACACCGGCGCUUAUACCGGAUAAUAUAUUGCUCCGCAUGGUUCAAUAGUGAAAGUCGGUUUUGCUGUCUCUUCUAGCUGCUUCCGCGCUGCAUUAUCUAGUUGGUAAGGUAACGGCUUACCACGGCGACGAUGCGUUGCCGACCUGAGAGGGGGAACGGCGACACUGGAGCUGAGACGCGGUCCAGAGUCCUACGGGAGGCAGCAGUAGGGAAUCUUCGGCAAUGGGGGAAAGCUUGACGGAGCAGCGCCACGUGGGUGAUGAAGGUCUUCGGAUCGUAAGACUCUGUUAUUAGGGAAGAACAAAUGUGUAAGUAACUAUGCACGUCUUGACGGUACCGGAACAGAAAGCCACGGCUAACUACGUG
Molecule: ribosomal RNA, 497 nt
Filed under: uncultured bacterium
Lineage: Bacteria
Description: partial 16S ribosomal RNA
Rfam family: Bacterial small subunit ribosomal RNA
Source: RNAcentral